GGAACUUAUCCUCGUGUUGUUGUGCGGCUUGGAAAAUGUUGACUUGGAGUCGGUUCUCUCACUUUCUCGCCCUCGUCUUUUCCCGCUGUUACUGCAGCUACUGCUCUCAAUAGCGAGAGAGAGAGAGAGAGAGGUUUAAAACAUGGGUCGGUCGUCGACCCGGCACGGUUCAGCAGCGGUCUUCGGCGGACCGGUGAGGCGGUGGAAAAAGAAGUGGGUCCCGCUCUCCACUGCCGACGACCACGGCGACGCCGUCAAUCGUCAUCCCGAGGAGCCGCCCUGUAGGAAUUUUCGAUACGUUCUGGAUCAGUUGAGGUAUCAGCUUUUGGGUUUUCUUUGGAAGAGGCAAGAAGACGGUGGUAUUGUGUUUUUCCUGUAGCGUACGGCAAGUAAAGUUUCAAGGAAGACGGCCAGUGGAAAUUGGUAGAUGAUCUAAAUUAGGUAAUUAUGGAGGCCAUGAUGACUGGUGUGAUAUAUGCAACUCUCAGGGUCAGAUGGAAGAUCAAAUGGAAUCACUUUGCCCACAUUUAGCUGCUAAAUUUAUUUAUUUAUUUAUUGGUGAAUUCAAGGACUUGCAAAUGCUGGAAAAACCUGGUUUGUGCAAUAGAUCAGUCAUGCAAAUUGCUUUUCCUUCGCUGGGAAAUCUUGUAGAAGUGACUUUUUAAGUUUCUUGAGAUAUAUGGUUAUGGGCUUACAGAAAUCUUGCUUAGUCUA
This is a long non-coding RNA of Musa acuminata AAA Group (dessert banana), 714 nucleotides long. RefSeq lists it as uncharacterized. Lineage: Eukaryota; Viridiplantae; Streptophyta; Magnoliopsida; Zingiberales; Musaceae. The transcript is spliced from 2 exons. The record is from RefSeq and is a predicted model, not a curated record.